RNAcentral lists this ribosomal RNA (484 nucleotides) under uncultured bacterium. RNAcentral describes it as "partial 16S ribosomal RNA". It matches the Rfam family "Bacterial small subunit ribosomal RNA", at positions 30 to 507 of the family's 1533-position model. The record is from RNAcentral.
AUUGAACGCUGGCGGCAUGCCUAAUACAUGCAAGUCGAGCGGACGAAGGGAGAUUUCUCUUGGAUUCAGUGACGGACGGGUGAGUAAUUCCUAGGAAUCUGCCCUGCAUAUGGGGAUAACGUCCGUUAACGGGCGCUUAUAUCGCACCCGUCCUGAGUUAGAAAGUCGUGGAUCUUCGGACCUCACCCUACUUGAUGACCCUAGUUCGCAUUAGCUAGCUGGUUAGGUAAAGGCCUACCAAGGCGACGAACCGUAACUGAUCUGAGAGGAUGAUCAGUCACACUGGAACUGAGACACGGUCCAGACUCCUACGGGAGGCAGCAGUAGGGAAUAUUGGGCAAUGGGCGAAAGCCUGAUCCAGCAAUGCCGCGUGUGUGAAGAAGGUCUUCGGAUUGUAAAACACUUUAAGUAGGGAGGAAGGUAAGUGUGAGAAUACCUUGCUAUCUUGACGUUACCAACAGAAAAAGCACCGGCUAACUACGUG